AGGCCGUUCGCGGCUGGACUAUUUAUUACCCUUGUCUUUUGCGCACUUGUUGUUUCCUGGGCGGGUUCGCUCGCCACCAGGACCACAAUAUAAACCUUUUUUAUGCAGUUGCAAUCAGCGUCAGUAUAACAAAUGUAAAUCAUUUACAACUUUCAACAACGGAUCUCUUGGUUCUGGCAUCGAUGAAGAACGCAGCGAAAUGCGAUACGUAGUGUGAAUUGCAGAAUUCAGUGAAUCAUCGAAUCUUUGAACGCACAUUGCGCCCUUUGGUAUUCCAAAGGGCAUGCCUGUUCGAGCGUCAUUUGUACCCUCAAGCUUUGCUUGGUGUUGGGCGUUUUUGUCUUUGGCCCGCCAAAGACUCGCCUUAAAAUGAUUGGCAGCCGGCCUACUGGUUUCGCAGCGCAGCACAUUUUUGCGCUUGCAAUCAGCAAAAGAGGACGGCAAUCCAUCAAGACUCCUUCUCACGUUUGACCUCGGAUCAGGUAGGGAUACCCGCUGAACUUAAGCAUAUCAAUA
Molecule: ribosomal RNA, 516 nt
Filed under: Curvularia spicifera
Lineage: Eukaryota; Fungi; Ascomycota; Dothideomycetes; Pleosporales; Pleosporaceae
Description: eukaryotic LSU rRNA
Rfam family: 5.8S ribosomal RNA (bases 148-301)
Source: RNAcentral